This 1439-nucleotide long non-coding RNA is filed under the name Equus asinus (donkey). RNAcentral describes it as "lncRNA (ENSEASG00005031760.1)". Lineage: Eukaryota; Metazoa; Chordata; Mammalia; Perissodactyla; Equidae. The record is from RNAcentral.
CGCGCCAGGGCCCCUCCGCCUCCUCGGACCGAGCCCGCCGCUGUCCCCGCUCUAUCUUCAGCAACAUUAAGCUCCCACUUCUCCUUGACUUUGGGAGCCUUCAUGGAUGUCCAGCACAAGCCUGGAGGAGCCCUGGACAGGUCAUUGAGUCCACCCUCCAGCCUCCAGCUGGACGACAUCUCUCCAGAGAAGGGGCUCACUGAGGACCACCUUCCUUGGCUUUGUUGCCAGAGGGCCCAACAGAGACCCUUACAGAGGACAUCUGACCUAAUGCUAGUGGGAACCUACCUGUGGAUCCCAGCCUGUACCCCAGGGCUGCGCCCCUCACAUCCCACCCACCCCAGAUGGGCAGGGCCAAAUUAAUGCAGGAGCAGCCCCGUCUAUCGGGCCGUCUUCACCCCUGGACCUUGUCGCUGACUUGGAAAGUGAGCCUACAGGACCUGGUAGUUGUCCACUUCAUUAGUAAAGUGCCCUUGCUGUCAGGAGGCUGUCCUCCUGGGCUCACCACAGCUUGAGACUCCUUCUUCCUACUCGGUGUCCCAGGAAAGCACGGGCCCACUGAAUCAAUGUCUAAAUUUAACAUGCAAACAUGUAAAUUAGCAAGGCGUGAGGAUGGGCAUCAGUGAAGCCUGUUUUGUUUGCCUUAAAGUCACAGAUAUUCAGGAUUCUCACCCUCGGCCCCAACACAUUUUUAGCAGCGGUUAAGAUUUUCUGAGCUAUCAUUACAAAGAUGGGUACAUUUUACUAGGACAUGUAUGUAUGGUAAAAUAUAUGGGUGCAUGUGGAUAUUUAGUUGUGAAUGCACAUGCGUUGGGGGGCACCCAUGAGAUGACAAAUUGAGUGAAAUAUCAAGUGGACGGAUAGGUGCUUUGAGAAAUGCUAUCUGACUAAACCCUACCUCCCAUGCUACGAGGUGCGUAUUGUCCACAUUUUCUAAUGGAGGAAGCUGGGAGGCAGCUUGUGGGAACUGCCACAUUACACAAUGACAUUCCUGGGAUGUGCAGGCUCCAUCUUAAGGCUCUUUCCUCUAUAGCUGCUCCCUGCAUCCCACCGCAGACCCCAGCCAGCUAAGCCAGAGCUUUGCUGUUCAGUCCUUCAAAUCAACAAACACAAGCAGGCCUGUGUAUUCAUAUUUGCUGUUUUAUCUUCCCAAGCCACAUUUGACAUUGGCGGCCCCCAAAGUCUUUGUUCCUCAGUUUUCCUCUCUCGCUGCACAUUCCCUCCCCCAUGGUCAUAAGGCUAGACCGAUACUCCUGCUGUACGGCACACGAGCAUCUAGACCAGGGGCCUGGUAUGUGGUGGGGGUGGCAAUCAAGUGGCUUAGAAACACCUCCUGAAAGAAUAAAUGGAAACCUGUCAGCUGAGCAACGUUCUGUGGUGGAAGUCAUCUGCUCAGAAACUAAUAAUGAGGAAAUCACUUGUAUAUGUAGCAACUGGAG